RNAcentral lists this ribosomal RNA (253 nucleotides) under uncultured bacterium. RNAcentral describes it as "partial 16S ribosomal RNA". It matches the Rfam family "Bacterial small subunit ribosomal RNA", at positions 524 to 776 of the family's 1533-position model. The record is from RNAcentral.
GACAGAGGUGCCAAGCGUUAGGCGGAAUCACGGGGCUUAAAGCGUGUGUAGGCGGAUUUGUAAGUACCUUGUGAAAUCCCAUGGCUCAACCAUGGAACUGCUCGGUAUACUGCGAAUCUUGAGCCACUUAGGGGCUACCGGAACAAAUGGUGGAGCGGUGAAAUGCGUAGAUAUCAUUUGGAACGCCAAUGGUGAAAACAGGUAGCUGGGAGUGUGCUGACGCUGAGACACGAAAGCCAGGGGAGCGAACGGG